Molecule: ribosomal RNA, 253 nt
Filed under: uncultured bacterium
Lineage: Bacteria
Description: partial 16S ribosomal RNA
Rfam family: Bacterial small subunit ribosomal RNA
Source: RNAcentral
UACGGGGGUGGCGAGCGUUACUCGGAUUCAUUGGGUGUAAAGGGCAGGUAGGCGGCUAUGUAAGUUGGAGGUGAAAUCCUUUGGCUCAACCAAAGAACUGCCUUCAAGACUGCGUAGCUUGAGGCUAGAAGAGGAGAGCGGAAUUCCCGGUGUAAGGGUGAAAUCUGUAGAUAUCGGGAGGAACACCAGUGGCGAAGGCGGCUCUCUGGUCUAGCCCUGACGCUGAGCUGCGAAAGCUAGGGGAGCAAACAGG